This is a non-coding RNA of Callithrix jacchus (white-tufted-ear marmoset), 5472 nucleotides long. Lineage: Eukaryota; Metazoa; Chordata; Mammalia; Primates; Cebidae. The record is from RefSeq and is a predicted model, not a curated record.
UGGCUCCUCGGGACGCAGCCUGGCCUGAACUUCCGAGGGUCCCCUUGAUUUCCUCAUACUGUUAGAGAGGAGCUAGUUUUUAAAGAUUUUUGGUGGAUAAACUAUAUUGUAAUGAGGUCGGGGAAGGCAAAGAUCGCGUCAAUCUUUUUUUUUUUUUUUUUCUGUAUUUUCUCUGUGUCUCGCAGACAGCCUAGUUAGUAUUCAGUAACUUUCAUGGAAUUGAAAUAAGGCGCUAAAUAGCAGGUAGAUAUAAAAUGUAAACGAGUGAUGGAGGAGUAACUCCUUGAUUGUAUAUCGUUCAUAGUGUAUUAUCUCAGAUCUCAAGCCAGCUCCAUGAGAGUUGGGGAUGGCGAUUUUUACAAGAGUAGCAGCCUCAGGAUGCCAUCUUGCUGGAGUUCAGUGGUGUGAUCUUGACUCACUGCAACCUCCACUUCCCAGGCUCAAGCGAUGCUCCCAUCUCAGCCUCCCAAGUACCUGGGACUACAGGUACAUGCCACCACAACUGGCUAAUUUUUUGUAUUUUUGGCAGAGACAGAGGUUCGCCAUAUUGCACAGGCUGGUCUGGAACUCCGGAGCUCAGGCAAUCCAUCUGCCUUGGCCUCUUAAAGUGCUGGGAGUGCACCACCGCAUCCAGCUAAUUUUUAUGUAGAGAAGGCAUCUUGCCAUGUUGCCCAGGCUGGCCUUGAACUCCUGACUUCAAGCGACUCUCCCACCUCAGCCUCCCAAAGUGCUGACAUUAUGUGAGCCACCGCACCUGGCCCGUGCCCAAUUUCUUAUAUACUAUUUAUAAUACAACCAGAUUGUAAUUUCCUUGACGGUCAGGGCCACUUUUUCCACUCAUUUAUUCAAUAAGUAUUAUUUGAGUGUCUGCUUUGUGCCGGGCAUUGAUUAAGUGAAUAGGAUAAACUCAGACUCUGCCUUCAGAGAGAGGUUGAUAUAUAUCUUUGAAUUCCUUGAAGACCCUUGUACCAUAGAAUAUACUAAAGAUGUACUCAGUGAACAUUGAUUAUUGUUAAGAAGUAUUUUUGUGUGCUUCUUAUAUGCCAGUGCUAAGCAAUGUGUGUGUACGUAUUAAACUUCAGAGUAAACCUAUGAGGCAAGAUCUGUUAUCAACAGAUGAAUAGGUGACAGAUUACAUUAUUGCUUCAAGCACUGGUUUUUGCCACUGCAGAACUACCUGAAGAACUUGUUUAAAAUGCUGUUUCCAAUGCCCCAACCUAGACCCACUGACCUAGAAUCUCCUUGAGUAGGCCAGGAUAGGGCAUUGGAUAUAGCUGGGUUAGGGAACCACUGUCUUUGAAAUGGGCCCAUUCGGACAGACUAGAUGAGAAAGCCCUUUUUCCAGAACAUCACUGAUGUCUGAUGCUGCAAAUGUUAGCCAGGUGUCCUCCUGUCCAAGUAUCUAUUUAGAACCUAAACUGUCUUUAACUUGAGUUUUAGCUGUGUUCUGUCCUUUCUAUUUCUUUUUUUAAAAAUUAAUUAUGUAGUUCACUCUUUGAUACUUUCUAUUUCUUAAAGUAAUUUUUGGCUAAUGGGUACAGGAUGUUUGUUAUAUUAUUUUCUGUACUUCCUCAUGUGCUUAUAUUUUCUAAUUAAACUUUUUGAAAAUUAAAAUAAAAAUACAUCAACCAAAGGAAUAUAUCAGCUUCUGCUAUGAGAGGUUUUCAAGUAGCUUCAAGGACUACUUGGAGGAGUAAAAUUGAGUCUUUUUCUUAAGUGACUCUUGUGUUCUAAAAUAGGAGAACUUCUCUAGUUUUUCUUUCCUCUCAUUUGGAGGAGUAUAGAAGCUUUGGGCUAAAGAGCCAAACUGCAAAGAAAAUCCAGAUUAAAAGAAGGAAUUAUUCAUUGUUGUCCACCGUCUCUGUCUUUUCCCAGUUGAGGAUGAUAAGUCUUUCCAAGAAACAAAUGUACUUUUUUUGCUUCCUUCCCACGCUAGAUACCUGCUUUGGGGUUGGAGUCUAAAUUGCUUAGGAUCACAUGCAAUGUUCUUCGUAAAUUAGCCCCAUUGGGCUUCCUGUCCUAUUUUCUCCACAUUCUUCCAUGUACUUGAGGUGAUGCUUUCCCCAGCACUGCAUACUUUCCAUGUGUCUGUGCCACUGUUACCUUAGUCCACAAGACUCAUUCCCUCCUUCACUGCUUGGCACAGUCUUUCUCAUCCUUCAAGGCCAAGUGUAAAUUUUGCCUCCCCAGAGGCCUUUCUGAACCCUCCUCUCAGCAAUCAGUUGCUCCCUCUAACACACCACCCACUCUAACACUUUGCACAAACAUAUUUUAUCAUAUAUUAUAGUUAGUUGUAAACAGACCAGUAGAUCUCAACUGGAGGCUACUCUAGGCUAACAUUAUGAGGUGAUGAGGUUGUGACGGUGCCACUGGCAUUUAGGGGGUAGAGGUCAGGGAUGCUGCCAAACAUCCUCUAAUGCACAGGACAGGCCCCCAGCCCAGAGAAUUAUCCUGUGCCAGAUGUCAAUAGUGUAGAGGGAAGCUGGGCACAGUGGCUCACACCUGUAAUCCCAGCACUUUGGAAGUCUGACACAGGAGGAUCACUGGAGUAUAGAAGUUUAAGACCAGCCUGGGUAACGGAGACACUGUCCUUACCAAAAAAAAAAUUAACUGAGCCUGGUGACUCACACCUGUAGUCCUAGCUACUCAGGAAGGUAAGGCAGGAGGAUCACUUGAGCCUGGGAGUUCAAGGCUGCAGUGAGCUAUGAUCACACCACUGCACUCCAGCCUGAGCAUCGGAGUAAGACAGAUUUUAGGCAUAUUCUAGAGGCAGAAUGGACAGAACUUAACUAGUGCAUUAGAUUUGAGGGAAAGGAAAGAGAAUGAAGGGUGACUCCCAGGGUUUGCCUUGAGCACCUGGGUGGGUAGUGGUGCCAUUUACUGAGACGAGCCUGAGGAGUACAGGUUUGGGAAGAAAAUCAAAGCUCUGUUUGAGAGUUUUUAUAUUCUGGACACCUAUUAAACCUCAAAGUGGAAUGUUAGGUAGGUACUUACCUGAGCCAGAAACUUAGGAGGAAGGCCAAGGUUGGAGAUAUAAAUUGGGAAUCUUCAGUACAUAGUUGAUAUUUAAAGCUAUAGGAAUGGAUGUGAUCAUUAAGGCAGGAAAUGUAGAUAUAAAAUUGAAUGCGGGAGUUCUGGGAUUCUUUUUCUCUGUUCAAACUUUUUUUUUUUAUUUAAAGAGAUGAAGCCUUACUCUGUUGCCCAGGCUUGAGUGCACUGGUAUGAUCUCAGCUCACUGCAACCUCCACCUCCCAGGUUCAAGCAAUUGUCCCACCUCAGCUUCCCAAGUAGCUGGGACUACAGGUGUGUGCCACCACGCCCAGCUAAUUUUUUAAGUAGAGAUGGGUUUUCACUAUCUGUUGGACAGGCUGGUCUCAAACUCCUGGACCUCAGGUGAUCCACCCACCUCAGUCUCUAAAAGUGUGGGGAUUACAGGUGUGAGCUACCCAGCCUUGUUCAAAUUUAAAUCUUCUAUACCCCUGGUAUCAUACAGGCUAAUAGACUAUUAGUAUUAAAAAGCAAUCUAGGCCGGGCGCAGUGACUCAGGCCUGUAAUCCCAGCACUUUGGGAGGCCGAGGCAGGUGGAUCACGAGGUCAAGAGAUCGAGACCAUCCUGGUCAACAUGGUGAAACCCCGUCUCUACUAAAAAUACAAAAAAUUAGCUGGGCAUGGUGAUGCAUGCCCGUAAUCUCAGCUACUCAGGAGGCUGAGGCAGGAGAAUUGCCUGAACCCAGGAGGUGGGUGUUGCGGUGAGCCGAGAUCGCGCCAUUGCGCUCCAGCCUGGGUAACAAGUGAAACUUCGUCUCAAAAAAAAAAAAAGAAAGAAAAAGCAAUCUAAGGUUAUCUAUCUGUCUAGUCACCAUUCCCAUAUUUACUCAAACCCUCGGCACUACAUCUAGCCAAAUAGCUAGCCAGUUGGUGCUUCUUUGACAGGAAACAUGCCAUUUCCAUUAAGACCUUCUAUUCUGUGUUAAUCAGAAAGAGCCCAUGUCUCCGUGGACUCUUACCAUACCCCUGGAGCAAACUAAAGUUCAGAGAGGUGACUUGGUCAAGCUCAUGAACCAUUAAAAGGUAGAGCAAGCUGGGCACUGUGGCUCAGGCCUGUAAUCCCUGCACUUUGGGAGGCCAAGGCAGGCAGAUCAUGAGGUCAGGAGUUCAAGACCAGUCUGGCCAACACAAGGGCGUGGUGGUGUGUGCUUGUAAUCCAAGCUACUUGGAAGGCAGAGGUAGGAGAAUCAUAUGAAUCCGGGAGGUGGAGGUUGCAGCACCACUGCACUCCAGCCCGGGUGACAGUUUGAGACUCCGUCUGAAAAGAAAAAAAAGGUGGAGUGGAAACUUGAAUGCAGGUCUUCUGUUCCAAUUCCAUGGUUCUUUCCAUUAGUACACACUAAUCUAGUGAUUUUUACUAUUAAAGAUUUUAGGCCUAAAUUACAUUUUCUCCUGCAAUUUAAAUUCAGUGGCCUAUUUUGUCCCCUGGUGUGUGAAAAGCAAUCAUUACUUCCAUCAUUAAAUAGCAAAUUUUAAGGCACUGGAAAAAUAUACACUUGAAGGCUAGUUGCAUCAGCAUUUUUUUUUCCUUCUUCCAAGUUAGGGGUAUUGAUUUAAAUUGGUAAGUGAAGUUGAUAAGUGAGAGGAUACCUCGAUAGCAUUUACACUUCUAUAUUGUGAUGACUGCUGAAUUAGGGGACUUUCUAAAGAGAUGUGACUGGAAGGAGUCCUUGGGAUCAAUUCUUACAAUUUAGGAACCCUGAUUCAGUCAAAUGCCAAAACCUAUUUGACUUAGCUCAGAGUUGGUAUAGUAAUGGAGCUUUCCAAUGUAUAGGUGGAUCAGGAAAGAUGCACUUGGUGCUGUAGCUGUUUAUACUGACCUCAAAUUCAACAAGGAUUCAUUGAGCACUGAUUAUGGUCAGGGCCCCAUUUCAACUGCUCUGGAUACAGAGCAUUGAGAUCAGAUUUUGAGGGCUUUUUGGCCUUCCUAAAAGCCCAGCAGGGGUUCACAUGAGUAGUAACACACACCUGGCACUUAAGUUCUUCUUUGACUGUGUUACAAUUAAGGAUUCAAACUUCAAGGAUACAUUGUUAACUUCGAGAAAGUUGAAAUUCCUUAGAGUUUAGCAGUCAAGGUGCUCCACAUGUUCCUAAUCUACCUUUUCAAUCAUCAUUCCCACUGUUGCCAGGAGUAAACCCUCUGCUCUAGUUAAAUUAGAUGCUCACUACCUCCUGAGCAUCUAAUUUAAGUAAAGUAUCACCUCGAUACCUUACUCUUUAGCUCUCUGCUGUUCUUUAUAGUAGCCACUAGUCACAUAUGGCUAUUGAGUACUUAAGUGUGGCCAGUCUAAACUGAGAUGUGCUGUUAGAUACACCUAGAUUUCAAAAAUGUAGUUAAAAAAAAUAUAAUAAUCUUUUAAUAUUGAUUACAUAUUAAAACAUUAAUAUUCUGGACAUAGAUGAAAUAAAGUACAUUAAAACUUU